AACGAACGCUGGCGGCAUGCCUAACACAUGCAAGUCGAACGAGACCUUCGGGUCUAGUGGCGCACGGGUGCGUAACGCGUGGGAACCUGCCCUUAGGUUCGGAAUAACUCCCCGAAAGGGGUGCUAAUACCGGAUAAUGUCUUCGGACCAAAGAUUUAUCGCCUUUGGAUGGGCCCGCGUUGGAUUAGCUAGUUGGUAGGGUAAAAGCCUACCAAGGCGACGAUCCAUAGCUGGUCUGAGAGGAUGAUCAGCCACACUGGGACUGAGACACGGCCCAGACCCCUACGGGGGGCGGCAGUGGGGAAUAUUGGACAUUGGGCAAAAGCCUGAUCCACCAUUGCCGGGGGGGUGAUGAAGGCCUUAGGUUUGUAAAGCUCUUUUACCCGGGAUGAUAAUGACCGUACCGGGAGAAUAAGCCCCGGCUAACUCCGU
Molecule: ribosomal RNA, 432 nt
Filed under: uncultured bacterium
Lineage: Bacteria
Description: partial 16S ribosomal RNA
Rfam family: Bacterial small subunit ribosomal RNA
Source: RNAcentral